This 253-nucleotide ribosomal RNA is filed under the name uncultured bacterium. RNAcentral describes it as "partial 16S ribosomal RNA". It matches the Rfam family "Bacterial small subunit ribosomal RNA", at positions 524 to 776 of the family's 1533-position model. The record is from RNAcentral.
UACGUAGGGCGCGAGCGUUGUCCGGAAUCAUUGGGCGUAAAGAGCUCGUAGGCGGCCUGUCGCGUCUGCUGUGAAAUCCCGGGGCUCAACCCCGGGCGUGCAGUGGAUACGGGCUGGCUGGAGGCAGGCAGGGGAGAACGGAAUUCCCGGUGUAGCGGUGAAAUGCGCAGAUAUCAGGAGGAACACCGAUGGCGAAGGCAGGUCCCUGGGCAUUAACUGACGCUGAGGAGCGAAAGCAUGGGGAGCGAACAGG